Molecule: ribosomal RNA, 492 nt
Filed under: uncultured bacterium
Lineage: Bacteria
Description: partial 16S ribosomal RNA
Rfam family: Bacterial small subunit ribosomal RNA
Source: RNAcentral
AGUGAACGCUGGCGGUAGGCCUAACACAUGCAAGUCGAACGGCAGCACAGUAAGAGCUUGCUCUUACGGGUGGCGAGUGGCGGACGGGUGAGGAAUACAUCGGAAUCUACUUUUUCGUGGGGGAUAACGUAGGGAAACUUACGCUAAUACCGCAUACGACCUACGGGUGAAAGCAGGGGAUCUUCGGACCUUGCGCGAUUGAAUGAGCCGAUGUCGGAUUAGCUAGUUGGCGGGGUAAAGGCCCACCAAGGCGACGAUCCGUAGCUGGUCUGAGAGGAUGAUCAGCCACACUGGAACUGAGACACGGUCCAGACCCCUACGGGAGGCGGCAGUGGGGAAUAUUGGACAAUGGGCGCAAGCCUGAUCCAGCCAUACCGCGUGGGUGAAGAAGGCCUUCGGGUUGUAAAGCCCUUUUGUUGGGAAAGAAAAGCAGCAGGUUAAUACCCCGCUGUUCUGACGGUACCCAAAGAAUAAGCACCGGCUAACUUCGUG